UGGCGGACGGGUGAGUAAUGUCUGGGAAACUGCCUGAUGGAGGGGGAUAACUACUGGAAACGGUAGCUAAUACCGCAUAACGUCGCAAGACCAAAGAGGGGGACCUUCGGGCCUCCUUGCCAUCGGAUGUGCCCAGAUGGGAUUAGCUAGUAGGUGGGGUAACGGCUCACCUAGGCGACGAUCCCUAGCUGGUCUGAGAGGAUGACCAGCCACACUGGAACUGAGACACGGUCCAG
This 236-nucleotide ribosomal RNA is filed under the name uncultured bacterium. RNAcentral's name for it is "partial 16S ribosomal RNA". It matches the Rfam family "Bacterial small subunit ribosomal RNA", at positions 96 to 334 of the family's 1533-position model. The record is from RNAcentral.